Molecule: non-coding RNA, 6790 nt
Organism: Rattus norvegicus (Norway rat)
Lineage: Eukaryota; Metazoa; Chordata; Mammalia; Rodentia; Muridae
Source: RefSeq, a predicted model, not a curated record
UCCAUACAAUGAUUUUCACCCUGUGCUUAAUGCAAAUAUGCAAGUGUUUUAGUAUUACUUCACUACCGUAAUGGCUGAAAAUAUUGAAGAUAUUUAAAAUGAAACAAGGUGAUUAUAGAAAUUAGAGCUAUAACUGUCACAUUUCUUGUAUUGGAGAACUACUUCUGAAGGCAGGCAUCCAGAUCUCCAAGGAAGAAGCUACAAAAGGACGUCAGAUCCACACAAGCUGGAAUUACAGGUGCUUUGAUCCAUUCAAUUUGUAGGUUCUGGGAACCAAAUUCGGGCUCUCUGCAAGAGAAAUACACAGUCUUACCGGCUGGGGAGCCAUGUCUGCACUCCUUCCCCUCCCUACCUUGUAGACUAUCAGGAAAUGCAGGAUCUACACGUCAGGUGAUGGGAAUAUGUCCUAAAAUGUAACAAACAUGAUUCCAGUCAUAAGAGGUUUAAUACAUGAUGUGCACUGAAGUUCUCUGCAGUAGCUGCAUCUGUAUUUAAGAUCCUGUAGAUUGUAUGACCUUGACUCACUGCAGCAUCUAGGCUGUCCAUGGAAGGGAUCUUGCAUGUCAAAUGCCAAUGUUAUUUGAGCUUUAUCUGGCCUGAUAUUUCCAUGAAUAAAUAUUGUUCUGAUAAAAUUCCUGGACUGUUGCCUCCAGCUUGACAGUCUCAGCCUUUACUACACCUAAAGCUAGAAGGUGAUGGUGACAAUGUCUAAGUCCUAUAGAUGUCCCUUCUCUAUGGAAUCCUGUUUGCUGUCUUAAUGACCCCACCUAUGUGUUUUGUGAUCAUACUAAUUUCUACUCGUUUUUCCUUGCAGUGAACAUAACUGUUUCUGGGAUGAAAUGUGCAGUUCAGAGUGACUUUAACACAAGUUCCUUCAUCUCCAUAAUCUCUUAUAUCUGGACCAGGAGAAAAUAUUUUCUAAUUCUUCUAUUAACUCAAAGUUACUGCUUUAUGUUGACAAUGGCGUCUUUUGUUGUUUUUGUUUGUUUUGUUUUUGCUAUAUAUAAAUCAUUCACACGUGUUAUUUGCCAUUAAACUGUUAGCCAGAUUUCUACUACUGUCAAAAGUAUAUAAAGUAAGUCCACUUCAUAAGACAAAGAUUUAUUAUAGCUUACAGUUUGAAGGUUUCAUUCCAGGACUGGAGAGACUCAUUGCAUUUAAGGCCUUUGGACAUCUUUCAGUAGCAUCCUGUUGGCAAGUCUGUUACUUGGAUUUCGCCCUGAACAUAUUGUCUACCGUUUGUGUCAUGAAGGAAAAUCAGAUGUAUGCGUUCUACAGCUUUCCUUGGUUUGGUUUUCAUGUGGCUCUUUAAUUUUCAAUGGUAAGUGUAGAGAUGGCAACAUGGUUUCCUGAAGGUCAGUAAAAUUUAGACAAAAUCAUUUGACAAUUGAUAGUGUAUAAAUCUUAUAGUACCUUAGAUCCAUAAAACCCCUUUAGUCUUUUUAAUGCUAUUAGAAUUAUUUAAUUUUUCGUACAGUUUUUAAACUCUUCAAAGUGGUUUUGUUUGGGGAUGUAGUGGUUCAUAGUUGUAAUCUUAGCACUCAGAGGCAGACACUGCAGAAUUUUCUAAUAAAAGUUUAAAGCUAGCUUCAGUUACAUAGUGAAUUUUGAAGAUGGCCUGGGUCACAGAAUGUUGCUCUGUUGAUAGUUUUGUUGUUUUUCCUUUCUACUAUUCUAGUUUUUAAGAUUGUGUUUUAAUUAUAACAUGUCUCUCUUCCUUCUCCUACCCGUAAACCCUCCUAUGUACCUCUCUUGGUCUUCUUCAAAGUCAUGGUCUGUUGUUACUAAUUGUUAUCACACACACACACACUUGUGUGUGUGUGUGUGUGUGUGUGUGUGUGUGUGUAUACAUACAUACAUAUGUAUGCAUGUAUAUUCUUAAAUAUAACCUCCUCAGUCUAUGCUAUCUGCAUUCAUAUUUUCAAGGUUGAUCAUUUGUCACUGGACAACAAACUGGUGUUCUUUCCCCAGGGGAAGGCUAUGCCUUCCACUCCCAGCUUUCCUUAGCUACUUUUGUGUAGGAUCGAGGCCUCAUAGGCUUCUCUCCAUUUGUUGUGGAAUGCUCACUGCUGUCAUCCUUGUUCACUUUACAUUUGGAAAGUCAUGUUGAUAAAACUCCUAUGAGUAUAGCUUUGGAUUUUACUAGAAAACAAAACCUCACCACAAACUCUGUGGAUCUCAGGUUCUCACAAUCGUUCCACCCUAUCUUCCACAGUGUUUGUUGUUUUGUGCUGUCUGCCUAUGGUGUAUUUCUGCCCCAGGCUUUCCAUAUUGGCAGCCUGGAUGUCUGCUAGAGCCUCACCUAUAAUGUUCUCUUCAUGGGUCGCCAUAUGCUUCUAUUUCUGCCUUCAGUAGCUACAGAAUUCCUUGCAUCUUGAAGAGAAAGUGGUCACAUCCUUCUUUCUGGAUCAGGCACCUCAAAUCAGACUUUUAUUUAUUAUUUUCUGCACCUCUAUUUUCUAUGCCUAGAAGUACCCUUCCUCUGCUAGGACAUCAUAAUUAGCAAAUAAAAUUGAGAAAAAUAACAGCUAUAUGAUAUUAAUGGUUUACUUCUUCCUGAGAUUUGCUCUUCUCCAAAACUCUUCCUCUCCAACGAGGGGGAGGGGGAGCUGAUUAGUUCCUGGGAUGCCUUUGCAACAAUGUUUGCAUAAAUGUCACCCCAGUUUCCCUCUGGUUGGCCUGAGCAUUGUUCUGCCACCAGCUGUUUCAUUAUGCUUUGAGUGACUUGGAUGCCCCUCUGUCCAACCACAUAAUUUUUCAUUACUAAAAUUUUAUCAUAUGUUUUAAAAAACAUUCCUCUUGUCAGUCGUGCAAUACUGUACUUAUAUUCACACUAAUCACACUUAAUUCCUUCAAGUUUCUUCGAGUUCUAUUGUUUGGACUCUCCGCAGGCAGGCUUCUUUCUGGUGCCACUCCCUCGUCUCUGCUGCCUCCUCUUUUGGUUCUUUGUUUUCUCAGGAGUUGGGCAUGCUCUCUGGAACUUUAUCUGUGGGAACCUGCAGAUGGCUAAGUUACAGCUGCUCUCCUUUAGGUCAUAUUUUAAUCCACUCUUGAUGGAGAGCCCAGGUUCCAAUUUACCAGGUACCUAUGCUGUCUGAACAACAGACCCCUUAAACACAUCUAGAUUCUGCAUUCGUCCUGGGACCAGAAACUGGCUUCAACCCUUAUUUGGCACUUUUGAGUCUCCUUUUUAUUUCAAUUUUAGACUCUGUGUACUUUCAUUGUUUUAUUGCCAACCCAAUGACGACUUUAUUUUAAGCUAUUGUUGUAAAGUUUAAAAAGAUACAGAUGACCAUGCAAAAUGUACAGCUUGCUAUAGGGACAUCCCUAAACAAACGUUUAAUAAAACUCAUAGGGCUCUAGCUCCACACAGCUCCUCUGCAUAAAGCACAAACCCCUCAUUUGGUGUAGAGUCGUUAUCUUGAUCUUUAGGAAGCCCAUUCUUAGAUUUUUACAUAACUACCCAAAGGUACAUGCAGAGGCAUCAAAGUGUGGAUUUUUUUUUCCUUACGUUCAUCUACUUGUGAAAACCAUCCCCAUAGUAGAGCUUACUGGUUGCCUGCUCCUGGUGAUGGUCAGCAUCAUCUUUUGUCUUCUGAAUGCUAUACAAGUUGUCUGCAUGGCCCAGCAGUGCAUUAAGUUUCUGCUCUACCCCCUUGGCAGGUGGUAUGUGUUCCUCUCCCCUAGCCCACUGGCCACACGAUGUGUGAUCCUCUGUUUUUCCAUAAUCCUCACAGGAUUUGAUGCUCUAUGUAUUGAUCCAGCUUUUAACUGGGGCCUGCAGAUAGCGACAUUUUAUCCUUUCAUUUAUAUUGCAAACUCUGAACACUUUAAUGAAGAUAGAUUUCUUCUCUUCAUUAGUUAACACGUUAUCUAGUCAAAGUGUAUGCUUGGUUUGUUUCACUCCCACACUAACCUCAUACAUACUAUGACCUGGAAUCAGUUGUAACCUUAUUUCACUUAUAGGUGAUUAAACACCCCCCCACUCACACACACAUAUGCACACAUGAACACACAUGCACACACUGUACACAUGAGCAAGCACAUGCAUACACACACGCACACACACAUAUACAAACUCAGACACAUAACAAAUUCAUGAAUCAUAAAUGUACAUUAUAAGAACUCAUUCAAAUAUUUUUUUAAAUUCAUGUUCAUUGAAAUUAGCCUUCCUACGGAACCCCAAUGGCUCCAUUUUGGCCUUUAAGGACCCCACUGAAGUGUUUUUCAAGCUUCUUCAAGAGAAACUUUUAAGUCCUAGCUUCAAAUUGUACAUCUACACAUAGAAUCCACUAACUUUUAAACUUUGAAACCACAACCCAUGCAAUAUAAAGUCUCCCUUUAUUUGAUUGCUCAUUGCUGGUAAACCUUCACAAAGUACCGAAUAUACCAAUAAUUCGCCUUUCUACAAAGGUAUUGUCCCUAUUAUUUUGUCUGACAUAUUUGAGGAAAGUGAGAUCUUUGCCUAUUGGUUUGUGGGAGGAUCAAACUAUAUUUCUACAGCAUGGAUCUUAGUUUAAUAUGCAUAUGCACAGCUAAGUCGGAAUUUAAAUAAGAUUUAAAAGAUAUUUCCUUAUUUAUGAUAUUUAGGUCUUUUCUUCUUAAAUCCUAUAUUUCUAUAUUCACAUUAUAUUUUACACCCAUAAAUACUUUUAAAAAGUCCAAAUGAUAUUCUUAGUUCCAUGUAUUUUUCUGGGCAGAAUUGCAGGUUCGAUUUUCUGAAUAGGCUACUGACUUUUAAGUAGAUUUCAAGCCACUUUUUAUUUUUUUUCUCGCUUUUUUACUUAACCCAAGUAAUAGGCAGAAUAGAGAGGAUAAGGAAGAAGAAAGACAGACUGUGGGACACAGAGAAUAUCACUUUUCACUAUAAAAUAACAGUCUGGUUGAUCCCGAAGUGCAAGAACUUGCUCAGUGGAUUAACGCCCUUAGACUGUAAUCAGACAAUGAGCAAACAGAAGUUUCAGUUACUGGGUCUCCGGCCUGAAGAAACAGGUUCUCGAAUGUAUCCAGUGGCCAUUCUUACAUGGGACAAUAUCCCACUUUACGACAUAUGCAUACCAAAACUCACUUCUCUUCCUGUUUUAGCCCCUCAACACUACAAGGCAGGGGACGCUGGGCAUUAACCCUUGUCACCCCCUAUUUCUAACCUGUUCUUAUUUUUAGGACAUAGAGUUCACCUACCUGAUGAACCCCAGAAUCAGCAGGUAGUAGCAGCCAGAACGUCUGUGCUCAUAGCAAAAUAUCUUUGUCCUUGGCUAUGGGCCACAAGACUCAGAAGUCAAGAAGUGCACACAGGGCCAAGGAUGUUAAGAGAGGCAUGGUUUUCUUGGGAACAAGGGGGCUGGACUCUACAGCUGCCAGCUAUUUCACGCUAUUUCACGAGGCGCCAAGGCGCAACACCAUGGAGGAGGGGUCAAGCAUUAACACAGCUGGCAACCUACAGUGUUAAAUUGUCCAUAAAAGCGGCUGAUAAAGCGGGGAUUUCUUUCUUUCUUUCUUUCUUUUUUUUUUUUUUGAAAAAAAAAAUGCAGCCCUUCUGCAGACACUCCAUGGGCUGCUUAUUCAGGAAUUUUACAAAAGCUUAAGGCUGGUAAUGAGGCCUCUGGUACUCCUCUGCAGCCGGCUCAGCGUGACCUGCAGACCACGUGAUCCCUGUACAUUGAGGCCUAAUUGAUGAGGUUUUGAUGCUUAAAUGGAGUGCUGAUUGCAGGAGUUGCAAGGAGCUGCUGCCAGCCAGGGCUCAGAGGUGAGGGGAGAUUUUUACACUUCAUUCCCAGAGCUCCUCUAAUGACUGUUAUGAAAUGAAAACUAACUUAGGGAGAAAUGGAAAAAGGGAGGGGACUGAAUGCCUUCCGGGCCAAAUUCUGUAAUCUGAUAGUCCCUUAGCAGGAGACAGCUGGGGAAAUAAAUGCCUGUGGAAUACCUCUGUUGCCCAGCUUCUGAAGAGUGUUCAGCUUGGUUCAUUUUGGAUCGUGCUGUCUGCUGCUGGAUUUGGAAGGUUCCAUUAGUGCCAUAAAGAUGAGACUAUAUGAAUUGGAAACCGCUUACCUGGGUGGGCCAGUUCGAGUCUUGGCCAGUCAUUUACUAGCUUUGUGAAGCUUCUUCCUUCUAGAAGUUUCGUUUUCAUCAUCUGCGAAAUCGGGGCUGCAGUGAUGCUGGGCUGAAUUGUAAAAACUAGAGAGGAAGAAAGGCAAGGAUCCCGCCACCGAGCUAAUGAGGCUCAGAUUUCCCACUUCAUACAUUUGUGCUCCCUCUUCUAGUUGUGGAUUUUGUUUAACGCUUGUAUUAUGUUAAUUGGGUUCCCAAAAUUGCACGAGAAUCUACAAGUAAGAUGGCAAGGGUCCCUGCCCCUAGCUGGUUUCGAUUGGUAAAUUAAGUUGCCAGUGGCCAAUGGCUGGGCAGGGGAACAGAGGUGGAACUUAAGGAUUGGCAGACAGGGGGUCUGAAAGAAGAAGGAUGAUUUAGAAUCACCAUGCAGGGAGAGAAGAACCAGGCCUGAGGGUUGCAGAAGAGAGAGCAUAACAAUCAUGUAAGAGGUGGGGAAGCCUGUCCCCAGAGCCCUGCCUUACUGGUCUAAGGCAACAACGAUGACUAUAGAUUUUAGUAAGUAAUAACCCAGGAAUAUAGGAGGGGAGGUGUUAGCCAUGUGGGUGUUUGGGAGUGGCCCAGUCAUUGAGUUGAUUAAGACAUAUUAACACAGAAGGCUUCCUGUGUUUGGUGUGUGUGUGUGUGUGUGUGUGUGUGUGUGUGUGUGUGUGUGUGUGUGUGUGUGUAUGUAUGUGUGUUUCAA